AACUUUCGGCAAUGGAUCUCUUGGUUCUGGCAUCGAUGAAGAACGCAGCGAAAAGCGAUAAGUAAUGUGAAUUGCAGAAUUCAGUGAAUCAUCGAAUCUUUGAACGCACAUUGCGCCCGCUAGUACUCUAGCGGGCAUGCCUGUUCGAGCGUCAUUUCAACCCUCAAGCCCCCGGGCUUGGUGUUGGGGAUCGGCCGCCGUUAAACCGGUGGCCGGCCCCGAAUUAUAGUGGCGGUCUCGCUGUAGCCUCCUCUGCGUAGUAGCACACCUCGCACCGGAACGCAGCCUGGCCACGCCGUAAAACCCCAACUUCUGAAUGUUGACCUCGGAUCAGGUAGGAAUACCCGCUGAACUUAAGCAUAUCAAUAAGCGGAGGCU
This 378-nucleotide unclassified non-coding RNA is filed under the name uncultured Nectria. Its description in RNAcentral is "sequence contains ITS2". The stretch from base 1 to 154 matches the Rfam family "5.8S ribosomal RNA". The record is from RNAcentral. Lineage: Eukaryota; Fungi; Ascomycota; Sordariomycetes; Hypocreales; Nectriaceae.